RNAcentral lists this ribosomal RNA (463 nucleotides) under uncultured bacterium. RNAcentral describes it as "partial 16S ribosomal RNA". It matches the Rfam family "Bacterial small subunit ribosomal RNA", at positions 28 to 507 of the family's 1533-position model. The record is from RNAcentral.
GAUGAACGCUGACAGAAUGCUUAACACAUGCCAGUCUUUGGCGAAUCUGUGCUUGUACAGGCUAGCCAAGUCGGACGGGUGAGUAACGCGUCAAGAACUUGACCUGCAGACAGGGAUAACAGACGGAAACGACUGAGAACACCAGAUACAGUAGUCGGCACGCCUGUGUCUGGCAACAAAAAGAGAUGCUGCGGGAGUGCCUUGUGUCUUAUUAGCUUGUGGGUGAGGUGAUGGCUCACCAAGCCGAUGAUAGGUAGCAGACCUGAGAGGGUGAACGGCCACAAGGGGUCUGAGGUACGGCCGUUGCUCCUACGGGAGGAAGCAGUGGAGAAUAUUGGACAAAGGGGGCAACCCUGAUCCAGGUAUUCUGUGUGCACGAAGAAGGUAUUCGGAUUGUAAAGAGCUUUCAGCAGGGAAGAAGAAAGUGACGGUACCUGCAGAAGAAGCGACGGCUAAAUACGUG